AUACGGCAAGCGUACACAUGCAAGUCGAGCGGUAACAGAUCUAGCUUGCUAGAUGCUGACGAGCGGCGGACGGGUGAGUAAUGCAUAGGAAACUGCCCAGUAGUGGGGGAUAGCCCGGGGAAACCCGGAUUAAUACCGCGUACGCCCUUCGGGGGAAAGCAGGGGAUCUUCGGACCUUGCGCUAUUGGAUGUGCCUAUGUCGGAUUAGCUAGUUGGUGGGGUAAAGGCCUACCAAGGCGACGAUCCGUAGCUGGUCUGAGAGGAUGAUCAGCCACAUCGGGACUGAGACACGGCCCGAACUCCUACGGGAGGCAGCAGUGGGGAAUAUUGGACAAUGGGGGCAACCCUGAUCCAGCCAUGCCGCGUGUGUGAAGAAGGCUUUCGGGUUGUAAAGCACUUUCAGUGAGGAGGAAAAGUUGGUCACUAAUAUUGGCCAGCCUUGACGUUACUCACAGAAGAAGCACCGGCUAACUCCGUGCCAGCAGCCGCGGUAAUACGGAGGGUGCAAGCGUUAAUCGGAAUUACUGGGCGUAAAGCGCGCGUAGGUGGUUUGAUAAGCGAGAUGUGAAAGCCCCGGGCUUAACCUGGGAACGGCAUUUC
This 600-nucleotide ribosomal RNA is filed under the name Marinobacter flavimaris. RNAcentral describes it as "bacterial SSU rRNA". It matches the Rfam family "Bacterial small subunit ribosomal RNA", at positions 37 to 629 of the family's 1533-position model. Lineage: Bacteria; Pseudomonadati; Pseudomonadota; Gammaproteobacteria; Pseudomonadales; Marinobacteraceae. The record is from RNAcentral.